CUACGGGAGGCUGCAGUGGGGAAUAUUGCACAAUGGGCGCAAGCCUGAUGCAGCAACGCCGCGUGAGGGAUGAAGGCCUUCGGGUUGUAAACCUCUUUUAGCAGGGAGGAAGCGAAAGUGACGGUACCUGCAGAAAAAGCACCGGCUAACUACGUGCCAGCAGCCGCGGUAAUACGUAGGGUGCAAGCGUUGUCCGGAAUUAUUGGGCGUAAAGAGCUCGUAGGCGGUUUGUCACGUCUGCUGUGAAAAUCCAAGGCUCAACCUUGGACUUGCAGUGGGUACGGGCAGGCUAGAGUGCGGUAGGGGAGAUGGGAAUUCCUGGUGUAGCGGUGGAAUGCGCAGAUAUCAGGAGGAACACCAAUGGCGAAGGCACAUCUCUGGGCCGUAACUGACGCUGAGGAGCGAAAGCGUGGGGAGCGAACAGGAUUAGAUACCCUGGUAGUC
This 444-nucleotide ribosomal RNA is filed under the name uncultured bacterium. Its description in RNAcentral is "partial 16S ribosomal RNA". It matches the Rfam family "Bacterial small subunit ribosomal RNA", at positions 339 to 795 of the family's 1533-position model. The record is from RNAcentral.